CAUUAAGAAGCAAAAAAUGCAUUUAGUUUCGACCUAAAAAUUUAGUUUAUAUAACUCUAAUGU
This 63-nucleotide transfer RNA is filed under the name Waoraniella jarlinsoni. RNAcentral describes it as "tRNA-Arg". The record is from RNAcentral. Lineage: Eukaryota; Metazoa; Arthropoda; Insecta; Psocodea; Lachesillidae.